Eubalaena glacialis (North Atlantic right whale) is the source of this 3573-nucleotide RNA transcript. It is a transcript of the gene named cadherin 24, with no coding region annotated. NCBI's taxonomy places the organism in Eukaryota, Metazoa, Chordata, Mammalia, Artiodactyla, Balaenidae. The transcript is spliced from 13 exons. The record is from RefSeq and is a predicted model, not a curated record.
GGGGUUCCUGUGGAGGACGGACUUUCACAGGCUCUCAACCCUGUCUGAGGCUGCCCUCCUUGUCAUCUCAGCCUGACCUAGGCGCCCUGAGACCACACUUCCAUGAAUCCCAAUCCCUGGAUUUUAAGCCCUUUCCCUGGUAGCCCCCAUCUCCUCCAGCCCCAAGCUGCAUGCCCACCCUGGGAGCACAGGGGCCAGUUUGGGGUUCCAAGCCCUCCCAGCAUCCCCUCUCCUAUUUUCUUCCCAAGCUUCUCUACUCAGAGUUGAGUGGCAGGAGAUGUAUCAGCUUGGAGGGCUGGAGGUGUGGAUCCAUGGGGCAGCCCCAAAGCAUCUGCCCCUCUGCCCCAGCCAGCUCAUGCCUCAGCACCCGGGAGCAGUGAACAGAGCCCUGGCUGAGCCCAAACAUGUGGGGCCUGGUGAGGCUCCUGCUGGCCUGGCUGGGUGGCUGGAGCUGCAUGGGGCGCCUGGCAGCCCCAGCCCGGGCUUGGGCAGGGUCCCGGGGGGGCCCAGGACCAGCACUGCUUCGGACCCGACGGAGCUGGGUGUGGAACCAGUUCUUUGUCAUUGAGGAAUAUGCCGGACCAGAGCCUGUCCUUAUUGGCAAGCUGCACUCAGAUGUGGACAGGGGUGAGGGCCGCACCAAGUACCUGCUGACCGGAGAGGGGGCAGGCACUGUAUUUGUGAUUGACGAGGCCACAGGCAAUAUCCAUGUCACCAAAAGCCUGGACCGGGAGGAGAAGGCACAGUACGUUCUACUGGCCCAAGCUGUGGACCGAGCCUCCAACCGACCCCUGGAGCCCCCAUCGGAGUUCAUUAUCAAGGUGCAAGACAUCAACGACAAUCCACCCAUCUUUCCCCUUGGGCCCUACCACGCCACAGUGCCCGAGAUGUCCAAUGUCGGGACAUCAGUGAUCCAGGUGACUGCUCACGAUGCCGAUGACCCCAGCUACGGGAACAGCGCCAAGCUGGUGUACACUGUGCUGGAUGGACUGCCUUUCUUCUCUGUGGACCCCCAGACUGGAGUGGUGCGGACCGCCAUCCCCAACAUGGACCGCGAGACACAGGAGGAGUUCUUGGUGGUGAUUCAGGCCAAGGACAUGGGCGGCCACAUGGGGGGGCUGUCGGGCAGCACUACGGUGACGGUCACCCUCAGCGAUGUCAACGACAACCCCCCCAAGUUCCCUCAGAGCCUGUACCAGUUCUCCGUGAUGGAGACCGCUGGGCCGGGCACCCUGGUGGGCCGGCUGCGGGCCCAGGACCCAGACCUGGGGGACAACGCCCUCAUGGCAUACAGCAUCCUGGAUGGGGAGGGGUCCGAGGCCUUCAGCAUCAGCACAGACUCCCGGGGUCGAGAUGGGCUCCUCACUGUCCGCAAGCCCCUAGACUUCGAGACCCGUCGCUCCUACUCCUUCCGUGUGGAGGCAACCAACACGCUCAUCGACCCAGCCUACCUGCGGCGAGGGCCCUUCAAGGACGUGGCCUCAGUGCGCGUGGCUGUGCAGGACGCCCCAGAACCACCCGCUUUCACCCAGGCUGCCUACCGCCUGACAGUCCCCGAGAACAAGUCUCCCGGGACCCUGGUGGGCCAGGUGUCAGCCGCUGACCUGGACUCCCGGGCCAGCCCAAUCAGAUACUCCAUCCUCCCCCACUCGGACCCGGAGCACUGCUUCUCCAUCGAGCCUGAAGACGGUACCAUCCGCACGGCAGUGCCCCUGGACCGCGAGGCUCGUGUCUGGCACAACCUCACGGUGCUGGCCACAGAAGUCGACAGCUCCGCACAGGCCUCCCGGGUGCAAGUGGCCGUCCAGACCCUGGAUGAGAAUGACAAUGCUCCCCAACUGGCUGAGCCCUACGACACCUUUGUGUGUGAAUCUGCAGCCCCCGGCCAGCUGAUUCAGGUCAUCAGGGCCCUGGACAGAGAUGAAGUCGGCAACAAUAGCCGUAUCUCCCUUCAAGGUCCUCUGGACCCCGAUGCCAACUUCACUGUACGGGACAACCGAGAUGGCUCUGCCAGCCUGCUGCUGCCCUCUCGCCCCGCUCCGCCCCGCCAGGCCCCCUACCUGGUCCCCAUCGAACUGUGGGAUUGGGGGCAGCCGGCACUGAGCAGUACUGCCACAGUGACUGUCAGCGUGUGCCGCUGCCGGCCUGAUGGCUCCGUGGCAUCCUGCCGGCCCGAGGCCCAGCUCUCACCUGCUGGGCUCAGCACCGGGGCCCUGCUCGCCAUCAUCACCUGUGUGGGCACCCUGCUUGGCCGUUCUGAUUGGAACCAGGCUGCCCCGUGCCUGGCCCUGCCGGCUCAGCGGCCCGUGUGCGCCUCUCCCCCAGCCCUGGUGGUGCUCUUCGUGGCCCUGCGACACCAGAAGCAGGAAGCCCUGAUGGUGCUGGAGGAGGAGGACGUGCGUGAGAACAUCAUCACCUACGACGACGAGGGCGGCGGCGAGGAGGACACGGAGGCCUUCGACAUCAGCGCCCUGCAAAACCCCGACGGGGCCGCCCCGCCGGCUCCCGGCCCUCCCGCGCGCCGAGAUGUGCUGCCCUGGGCCAGGGCGCCGCGCCAGCCCCGGCCCCCCGGCCCCGCCGACGUGGCGCAGCUGCUGGCGCUGCGGCUGCACGGGGCGGACGACGACCCCAGCGUCCCACCCUACGACUCGGUGCAGGUGUACGGCUACGAGGGCCGGGGCUCCUCCUGCGGCUCCCUCAGCUCCCUGGGCUCCGGCAGCGAGAUCGGCGGCGCCCCGGGCCCCGCUGAGCCGCUGGACGACUGGGGGCCGCUCUUCCGCACCCUGGCCGAGCUCUACGGGGCCAAGGAGACCCCUGUCCCCUGAGAGCUGGCCUGGCCCUGCCCGCCGCGGCGGGGCGGCGCACAGGCCCUCUGAGUGAGCCCCCGGGGUCCAGGCAGGCGGCAGCAGCCCAGGGGUCCCCAGGCCUCCCCAAUCCCCGUGUCCCUCCUCCCCACUUCCCCAGGGCAACCUCCUCCUUACCUCCCUCAUCCUGAGUCGUCUGUUCGUCUCUCUCCAGGGAUCUCUGUCUCUGUCUCUGACACUCUCCCUGUCUGGGUCUGCAUUGUGCGGCUCAGACUCUGAAUCUCUCCGUUCUCUCACUGUGAUUCCACUUUCUUGUGGCUCUGUUUUGGUCUCCCCCAUUCUAAAUCUGUCGCUCACGGCUCUCUCUGUCUCCCGUGCCCGCACACAUGCUCUCUGUCUGUCUCCUGCCCACAUCUGCCCGCAUUCUCUGUGGGUCCCUGUGACUGGCUUUUUGGUUUCUUCCGUUGUCCAUCCCAGAAACAAAGAGAAAUUUCCAACCACUGCUGCCCACCCUCCUGCAGGGGAUGUUCUGCCCCAGACCUGCCCACAUGGUUCCAUCCAUCACUCAUGGCCUCAUCCUGGCUCCACUGGCCUCCAGCAGAGAGAGGGAGCCAGCCCACCUCCCAGGGCAAGCGCUCCAGCCCCCAACGUGGCCACCUCCCUGGAGCUCUGCCCAGCUGUCAGCCAGCCCUGGGCAUCCUAGCUCUGAGCAUUGUCUUGUGUGCUUCCCAGGCCCCAGGGGGAGGGAUGGGAAGGAAAGAGGGAGGCA